AGUGAACGCUGGCGGCAGGCCUAAUACAUGCAAGUCGAACGGCAGCACAGUGGAGCUUGCUCCAUGGGUGGCGAGUGGCAGACGGGUGAGGAAUACAUGGGAAUCUGCCCAGUCGUGGGGGAUAACGUAGGGAAACUUACGCUAAUACCGCAUGCGCCCUUCGGGGGAAAGCCGGGGACCUUCGGGCCUGGCGCGAUUGGAUGAGCCCAUGUUCGAUUAGCUAGUUGGCGGGGUAAAGGCCCACCAAGGCGACGAUCGAUAGCUGGUCUGAGAGGAUGAUCAGCCACACUGGGACUGAGACACGGCCCAGACUCCUACGGGAGGCAGCAGUAGGGAAUAUUGGACAAUGGGCGCAAGCCUGAUCCAGCCAUGCCGCGUGAGUGAAGAAGGCCCUCGGGUUGUAAAGCUCUUUUGUCCGGGAAGAAAAGCAUCGGGCUAAUACCUCGGUGUUCUGACGGUACCGGAAGAAUAAGCACCGGCUAACUUCGUG
RNAcentral lists this ribosomal RNA (490 nucleotides) under uncultured bacterium. Its description in RNAcentral is "partial 16S ribosomal RNA". It matches the Rfam family "Bacterial small subunit ribosomal RNA", at positions 29 to 507 of the family's 1533-position model. The record is from RNAcentral.